GCUUACAGCAAUACCAGCCUGUCUGAGCCUGAUCUCGUCUGAUCUCUGAAGCUAAGCAGGCUAGGGCCUGGUUAGUACUUGGAUGGGAGACUAACUGGGAAUACCAGGUGCUGUAAGCU
This 119-nucleotide ribosomal RNA is filed under the name Sinocyclocheilus grahami. The record is from RNAcentral. Lineage: Eukaryota; Metazoa; Chordata; Actinopteri; Cypriniformes; Cyprinidae.